RNAcentral lists this non-coding RNA (49 nucleotides) under Elusimicrobiota bacterium. Its description in RNAcentral is "Elusimicrobia bacterium Li+-I sequence". It matches the Rfam family "nhaA-I RNA". Rfam says of the family: Acidobacteria, Alphaproteobacteria, Betaproteobacteria and Gammaproteobacteria, Verrucomicrobia, cand. division NC10. Downstream gene The record is from RNAcentral. Lineage: Bacteria; Pseudomonadati; Elusimicrobiota.
GGGUUCGGGAAAGCAUUCCCGGAGGAUUAAGAUGGUCGGGCCGCCAUCU